GCACCCAUAGCUCAAUUGGAUAGAGCGUCUGACUACGGAUCAGAAGGUUAGGAGUUCGAGUCUCUUUGGGUGUACCA
This 77-nucleotide transfer RNA is filed under the name Neoluteolibacter luteus. RNAcentral's name for it is "Luteolibacter sp. G-1-1-1 tRNA-Arg". It matches the Rfam family "tRNA". From Rfam's summary of the family: Transfer RNA (tRNA) molecules are approximately 80 nucleotides in length. The record is from RNAcentral. RNAcentral also lists the same sequence under 1 other name. Lineage: Bacteria; Pseudomonadati; Verrucomicrobiota; Verrucomicrobiia; Verrucomicrobiales; Verrucomicrobiaceae.